UACGUAGGGGGCUAGCGUUGUCCGGAUUUAUUGGGCGUCAAGAGCUCGUAGGUGGUUCGGUAAGUCGGAUGUGAAAUCUCCAGGCUCAACCUGGAGGGGUCAUUCGAUACUGCCGUGACUAGAGUUCGGUAGGGGAGUGUGGAAUUCCUGGUGGAGCGGUGAAAUGCGCAGAUAUCGGGAGGAACACCUGUGGCGAAAGCGGCUCACUGGACAGUAACUGACGCUGAUGCGCGAAAGCUAGGGGAGCAAACAGG
RNAcentral lists this ribosomal RNA (254 nucleotides) under uncultured bacterium. RNAcentral describes it as "partial 16S ribosomal RNA". It matches the Rfam family "Bacterial small subunit ribosomal RNA", at positions 524 to 776 of the family's 1533-position model. The record is from RNAcentral.